This is a long non-coding RNA of Panicum virgatum (switchgrass), 1699 nucleotides long. RefSeq lists it as uncharacterized. The transcript has 2 exons. The record is from RefSeq and is a predicted model, not a curated record. Lineage: Eukaryota; Viridiplantae; Streptophyta; Magnoliopsida; Poales; Poaceae.
AAAUCUAUAUUGCUGAACCAAAAGGAGGCCUGCGGGAGCCUCUCAGGUGUUCGCCCACUCAUGUCGUGCCGCAUGUGACUCAUAUUGCGUAAAAAAAAUACCGCACGGCACAGAGGUGUCGCCAGUCGCCACGAAGCCUACUCCGGCCGCUCGCGUCUGCCUUACGCGCAGGACAAGUCGGGCGGCCGCCGCUUCCUCGCUACACGUCCCGCGGUGAUGUCCUUGCCUCUUCACCAAAUCGAGGACACGAGGCGCAUCACUCGGUCCGCGUUAGCUUUUCCUCCUCUUCGCGCUGCUCCUGUCGGAUGAGUCUCCCCCAAUCCCUCGCCUUCACCUCCUCUGUUUCUCCGCCCGAGACUCACCAUGAUGUCCCAGUGCGGUGGCUCCUGCUAUGGCCUCGCGGAGCGGCGGGGCGCGGCGAUGGCGGGUGGCCGCCGGUCAACCGUCGCCUUCUCUGCAUGCCAUCAGCGCCGCCGCCGCCCUCCGAAUGCCCCCUGUACGACUGCAGGAUCGCAUUGGUGGCUGGAUCGAUCCAGCGAGCCCCAUCCCCAACCCCAUAUGCUGAUGUGAUUAUUUUAUUCCUCCUCACAAGCGAGUCUCUCUUGAUUCUUCAUACGUUAGUGUCCUAUUACAUUUAGUUGGCGUAGUUAAAUUGAUUGCUUUAAACUUUACAGAAACUUCAUGCUUCCUUUGACCGAUUUGUAUUAUCACGUUAGUCAUAUAUUAGCUACCUGUGCAUCCCGUGAUUUACACAAUUACACUUCUUAUUUUCGCUUUGCGCUUCAUAUUUUCCCUUUGCGUUACAAAAUAUAUGUGUGCCUUCUGAGUGGAGCCUGAACAUACACCUAAAUGCUGUUAUGCUGUCUACUUUUCAGCAUAUAACUCUUUCUCAUGAGCUAUGUUAAGUUUCUUAUACAUUGUGCAGUGCAUAUGGGCGUGCCAGUGCCUGCAGACGUGGAUGAUUUUCUGAGGCUAUGUUUCUGGACAUGGUCAAAUGAUACACACGGCUGAACUCUACUUUCAUGUUAAAAAGUUCAAUUUCAUGUCAUUGGAAAGGUGGGAAUUCUGAAGUAUGUGGCCUUGCUGGGUGUCCGUAGUUUGGUAGGGCUGAAAUUCCUCAUAGAUUGACGAUUGAAGUGUUAUGACUAUUGUUUCAUGUUAAGCCAAUAUUGCGUAUCAGCAUUUACUAAUUAAAGAUUUUGAAUUUGAUACAGACUUGCAAGUUUAAAUUUGGUCACAUCAAUGUGCAGGAACGAGGCAAGGAGAUAUAUAGAACUGAAAGCUGGUUCCUUUUCAUUGUUUGCCAUAAAAUUUAGCUGCUGCGGUAACACAAUUUAGGUUUGUCACAUAUUGGUUGCUAGAUUUCGAUUUAUGAAUGCAUUUGUUUUCUUUCAUUCCUAUGCAUGAACUUAUUUUUUUUAUUGCACAACUUCUUUCCAAAAUUCAAUGUUAGUUCUCUCUGUAUAUACAUCUAUAUUUCCAUUCUGUGAUAUUCGCCCAUUAUAUGUCUGUAGCUAUGUCAGUGAUGGUAGCUUAUUUACAAAUAGAUAAAGUUAUUAGUAUAAAUCUGUAGCUCUUGAAUGAUGGUAGCUUAUUUAAAAAUAGAUAAAGUUAUUAGUAUAAAUCUAUAGCUCUUGAACAUCAUAUUUACCUUCCUAUAUUUAUUAAGUUGCAUACCUGUACCUUAUGUUUUAUCAAA